Long non-coding RNA from Acanthochromis polyacanthus (spiny chromis), 2497 nucleotides. RefSeq lists it as uncharacterized. The record is from RefSeq and is a predicted model, not a curated record. NCBI's taxonomy places the organism in Eukaryota, Metazoa, Chordata, Actinopteri, Pomacentridae. The transcript is spliced from 3 exons.
UGGAAGCAGCUUUAACACAGCUGAUGGCAAUCAGUGGGUCAUUUGAGCUACAGCAACUGACACAACAGAUACAGGAAAAAGUUUGGAUUGAAGACUAAAACUCAAGAACUUGAGAAAACACCUGAAGCUCUGGCAACAUCCCUUCGCCGCACCUGAGAGGAAGGAGGAUCCACUUACUUUCAGAGGUUUUGAGGAUUUUGCAUGGGUUAAGGACUCGUUUGGAGACCAAAGAUGGCAAGCUACCCCAGGGAUUGAACGGAACCCCAACUGAAAAAGGGAUUUGAUGAACUUGAAGACUGUACACUAUGGUGUGGUAGGACCAAACUGUCUACUACUAAAGUGACAACAGCAUUCUUGUGACCUCAGUCACAAACAGAAAAUUGAAAUAAGCUGAAAGGCCUGUUUUUGUUUUGGUUUAUAUUGUUUACCCGGGUAAAAAUUGUUGAUUUGUUACUAAAUAUGAGGAGAAAUCCUUUCAAUGCAACAUGUGUAUCUGUGAUUCUUCUGGUGUUGCCUGGUUAUUUUCUUAGGCUCCGUAGUCAUUCCUAAUCUUCUGAAAUAUAGCCCAUAUUGUUAAACUAUUAAUAGUAAAAUUAAGCUAACCUCAGUUAAAGGGUUACACAAUCACCUGAGCUUUUAACUCCCAGCAGCUAAUAGAUUAACUACCUAUCAGUUGUUCUGUCAGAAGCAGAAAAACCACAAACCUGAUGAAAAGCAUCCUGAAGUGUUUUAUUUUGAAAGGGAGUUGUUUUAGUUUUAUGUUGUCUGAUCGACUGUGAUCACAUGACACAACUGUUCUGAUCAUAAACGCUGCUCUCUGAAUGUAAAUACGAGCACCGACUGGUCACCUUAAAUGAUUGUGUUAAUCAGCAGCCACGCUGAUACUAACCAGACUGUGUGUUGAUUGUGUUAUCAGACUGUGUUGCUGGGAUCUCAUACUGUACUGAUACUAACAAAGCCUUAAAAUAGUCUGGAAGUUAACUUGUUGUUCCUCCUCUCAGGUGUCAGUAGUGAUGUCACCGGAUGUCUUAGAAGUGUUUCCAGGUCAAACAGGUCUAAAGGGUGACUGUGGUUCCAUUUUGGGAUCAUACACUGACCCAUGCAACGUCCCAACUAACCCUGCCUCACAGCGCCAUCUAGUGGUAGGUUGUGAAUUAUCAUUGGUUCAGCCGAUGCACACAGCCACCCAGUGCUAGAGUUUAACCUGUCUGUAUGAGAAACUCUGACUCAUUGGUGAUUUUACUCAAUAAUCACAGUUUUUGUCAAAUUUUGAACAUAAAUUUGCUGUGAUAAGUUGUUACGAUUAUGGAAUUCUGCUUCCUUUCUUGGACAAAGGUUUGUUGAACAGUGUGUCUCCUAUCAGCUCCUUGUUGUGUCUCACUCCCACUGUGUCCACACCUCCUAGCCUCGUCGUAAAGGAGGGUCCUCAGCAAUCGUGACACCUCAAGUGGUUGGUUUAAUCAAAUGUACUUUUUGACUUACUAUAAUAUAUUGGAAGUUUAGAGUGUUGCUUGGUCUUAGUUAAAUCCUUUGUUCAUUAUCUGGUUGGUUCUCCUCCAACACUCUUAAAGUGCUUCUCCAGCGAUCGGGGGCUGCUGGGUGGAGGAUGGAGAUGGUGGGUUUAUUAGAGUGAUUUAUGAGGUGUUUGGUGAAUGUGAUGAAAUGGACAUUGUUUACCUGAAGUAGAAAACUGUAAAUACAGUUCAACAGAUAAUAUAAGAUCUACAUUGAUGGUGAAAUAAAUUAAAAUAAUGGUGUUGUAUGCUGUCUGCUGAGAUUCCUGAUUGAUUAUUUACCCAGUGAUUCUUCAUCUGCUCAGUUCUGUUUGUAUCUUGAUUAUUUCCUGUAAUAAAAUCCUUUGUUAAUCUGACCUGUCCCUCCUGUUCCUGUGUUUCUGUACUUUGGGUUCAGACUCUCAGUCGUCACACUGACUGCUAAUGACCAGAGAUGAUCAGGCAGCUCUGUCAACCAGGAACCACGAAUCAAACCACAUCCACAGAAGCUUAACUUCACUUCUUAAACCACAAUCCCCGUUCAGACCUUUCUCUGGCUGGGACGUCGUGGAAACUGCAACAACUCAGAGAUAAAAAGCAACAAAAUGUGGUGCAGGAUAAACUUUUCUAAAUUCACUGCUUCAACACCAGAUAAAUCUGAAUUCUACUGAAUCUGAAUUCAAUCUGAGACAAAGCAGCACCUGAUUAAAAGUGGUCUGAUGGCAGAUUACUGGAAGAGAAGGUUCAUACUGAGAGACGAAACUGAUGGCAGGAACCGGAGAGUUUCAGGCUUACUAGUGGUUCCCAGUGGUAACAUCCAGCAGAACAUCUACCAGAACCUCUGAACAUCUGGACCAUGAAGACUCUGCUGCCUCUCCUGACUCUCUUCUGCCUUCUGACCUUCAGCUCCUCCAGUCAGUUUCUCUCCAUUAAACUGUGAGUCUGACCUCUGAUUAUUGAUUACUGAUCAAUGACUGUGUGUCCCUGCAGGUGUGAUCAGUCCA